This 891-nucleotide ribosomal RNA is filed under the name Micrococcus sp. WLSH-54. RNAcentral's name for it is "bacterial SSU rRNA". It matches the Rfam family "Bacterial small subunit ribosomal RNA", at positions 557 to 1444 of the family's 1533-position model. The record is from RNAcentral. Lineage: Bacteria; Bacillati; Actinomycetota; Actinomycetes; Micrococcales; Micrococcaceae.
GGCGUAAAGAGCUCGUAGGCGGUUUGUCGCGUCUGCCGUGAAAGUCCGGGGCUUAACCCCGGAUCUGCGGUGGGUACGGGCAGACUAGAGUGCAGUAGGGGAGACUGGAAUUCCUGGUGUAGCGGUGAAAUGCGCAGAUAUCAGGAGGAACACCGAUGGCGAAGGCAGGUCUCUGGGCUGUAACUGACGCUGAGGAGCGAAAGCAUGGGGAGCGAACAGGAUUAGAUACCCUGGUAGUCCAUGCCGUAAACGUUGGGCACUAGGUGUGGGGGACAUUCCACGUUUUCCGCGCCGUAGCUAACGCAUUAAGUGCCCCGCCUGGGGAGUACGGCCGCAAGGCUAAAACUCAAAGGAAUUGACGGGGGCCCGCACAAGCGGCGGAGCAUGCGGAUUAAUUCGAUGCAACGCGAAGAACCUUACCAAGGCUUGACAUGUUCCUGACCGCCGUAGAGAUACGGUUUCCCCUUUGGGGCAGGUUCACAGGUGGUGCAUGGUUGUCGUCAGCUCGUGUCGUGAGAUGUUGGGUUAAGUCCCGCAACGAGCGCAACCCUCGUUCCAUGUUGCCAGCACGUAGUGGUGGGGACUCAUGGGAGACUGCCGGGGUCAACUCGGAGGAAGGUGGGGACGACGUCAAAUCAUCAUGCCCCUUAUGUCUUGGGCUUCACGCAUGCUACAAUGGCCGGUACAAUGGGUUGCGAUACUGUGAGGUGGAGCUAAUCCCAAAAAGCCGGUCUCAGUUCGGAUUGGGGUCUGCAACUCGACCCCAUGAAGUCGGAGUCGCUAGUAAUCGCAGAUCAGCAACGCUGCGGUGAAUACGUUCCCGGGCCUUGUACACACCGCCCGUCAAGUCACGAAAGUUGGUAACACCCGAAGCCGGUGGCCUAACCCUUG